This is a non-coding RNA of Mycena latifolia, 98 nucleotides long. Lineage: Eukaryota; Fungi; Basidiomycota; Agaricomycetes; Agaricales; Mycenaceae. The record is from the annotation of a GenBank genome assembly.
GGCCUGGUGGUGUAAUGGUAACAUGCCUAUUAUUUCUAUGCAGUAAUUUGAUAAAGCCCUCUCGGUGGGAGUUCCUUGUUCGAUUCAAGGUCAGGCUA